CCCAGGUCUGGCUCUGUGAGCCACACACUGGACCCCAGGGAGCCCAGGUCUGGCUCUGUGAGCCACACUGGGCCCCAGGGAGCCCAGGUCUGGCUCUGUGAUCCACACACUGGACCCCAGGGAGCCCAGGUCUGGCUCUGUGAGCCACACACUGGACCCCAGGGAGCCCAGGUCUGGCUCUGUGAGCCACACACUGGACCCCAGGUCUGGCUCUGUGAGCCACACACUGGACCCCAGGGAGCCCAGGUCUGGCUCUGUGAGCCACACACACUGACUGACUGACCCAGCACGGGUCCCCGUCCCGCCUCGUCCACGCCGAGCGCCACGGGCUCCGUGAGGCAGGGCACCGGCACGGGAGACGAGACACGGCAGCUGCCGGUGUUGUCCGACUCGAAUGCGCUCAGAUCCAUCGGACAAUCGAAGGAAUCAAAA
This is a non-coding RNA of Petromyzon marinus (sea lamprey), 432 nucleotides long. The record is from RefSeq and is a predicted model, not a curated record. Lineage: Eukaryota; Metazoa; Chordata; Hyperoartia; Petromyzontiformes; Petromyzontidae.